CCUACGGGAGGCAGCAGUGGGGAAUAUUGCACAAUGGGCGAAAGCCUGAUGCAGCAACGCCGCGUGAGCGAUGAAGGCCCUCGGGUCGUAAAGCCUUGUUCUCAAGGAAGAUAAUGACGGCACUCGAGGAGGAAGCGCCGGCUAACUACGUGCCAGCAGCCGCGGUAAUACGUAGGGUGCUAGCGUUAUCCGGAAUUAUUGGGCGUAAAGGGUGCGUAGGUGGUUUCUUAAGUCAGAGGUGAAAGGCUACGGCUCAACCGUAGUAGGCCUUUGAAACUGGGGAACUUGAGUGCGGGAGAGGAGAGUGGAAUGCCUAGUGUAGCGGUGAAAUGCGUAGAUAUUAGGAGGAACACCAGUUGCGAAGGCGGCUCUCUGGACUGUAACUGACACUGAGGCACGAAAGCGUGGGGAGCGAACAGGAUUAGAUACCCGUGUAGUC
This 439-nucleotide ribosomal RNA is filed under the name uncultured bacterium. RNAcentral describes it as "partial 16S ribosomal RNA". It matches the Rfam family "Bacterial small subunit ribosomal RNA", at positions 338 to 795 of the family's 1533-position model. The record is from RNAcentral.